RNAcentral lists this ribosomal RNA (253 nucleotides) under uncultured bacterium. RNAcentral's name for it is "partial 16S ribosomal RNA". It matches the Rfam family "Bacterial small subunit ribosomal RNA", at positions 524 to 776 of the family's 1533-position model. The record is from RNAcentral.
UACGUAGGUGGCGAGCGUUGUCCGGAUUUACUGGGCGUAAAGGGAACGUAGGCGGACUUUUAAGUGAGAUGUGAAAUACUCGGGCUCAACUUGAGUGCUGCAUUUCAAACUGGAAGUCUAGAGUGCAGGAGAGGAGAAUGGAAUUCCUAGUGUAGCGGUGAAAUGCGUAGAGAUUAGGAAGAACACCAGUGGCGAAGGCGAUUCUCUGGACUGUAACUGACGCUGAGGCUCGAAAGCGUGGGGAGCAAACAGG